GAUGAACGCUGGCGGCGUGCCUAAUACAUGCAAGUCGAGCGAACGGACGAGAAGCUUGCUUCUCUGAUGUUAGCGGCGGACGGGUGAGUAACACGUGGAUAACCUACCUAUAAGACUGGGAUAACUUCGGGAAACCGGAGCUAAUACCGGAUGAUAUUUUGAACCGCAUGGUUCAAAAGUGAAAGACGGUCUUGCUGUCACUUAUAGCUGGAUCCGCGCUGCAUUAGCUAGUUGGUAAGGUAACGGCUUACCAAGGCAACGCUGCAUAGCCGACCUGAGAGGGUGAUCGGCCACACUGGAACUGAGACACGGUCCAGACUCCUACGGGAGGCAGCAGUAGGGAAUCUUCCGCAAUGGGCGAAAGCCUGACGGAGCAACGCCGCGUGAGUGAUGAAGGUCGUCGGAUCGUAAAACUCUGUUAUUAGGGAAGAACAUAUGUGUAAGUAACUGUACACAUCUUGACGGUACCUAAUCAGAAAGCCACGGCUAACUACGUG
Molecule: ribosomal RNA, 497 nt
Filed under: uncultured bacterium
Lineage: Bacteria
Description: partial 16S ribosomal RNA
Rfam family: Bacterial small subunit ribosomal RNA
Source: RNAcentral